GAUCAUGGCUCAGGACGAACGCUGGCGGCGUGCCUAAUACAUGCAAGUUGAACGCUUGAUUUUCACCGAAGCUUGUUUCACCGAAAAUCAAGAGUAGCGAACGGGUGAGUAACGCGUGGGUAACCUACCUUUAAGCGGGGGAUAACUAUUGGAAACGAUAGCUAAUACCGCAUAAUAAUGUUGGAUGCAUAUUCGACAUUUGAAAGUACCAACUGGUACACUGAGAGAUGGACCCGCGUUGUAUUAG
This 247-nucleotide ribosomal RNA is filed under the name uncultured bacterium. RNAcentral's name for it is "partial 16S ribosomal RNA". It matches the Rfam family "Bacterial small subunit ribosomal RNA", at positions 15 to 244 of the family's 1533-position model. The record is from RNAcentral.